GGGUUGUGAGGUUAAGCGACUAAGCGUACACGGUGGAUGCCCUGGCAGUCAGAGGCGAUGAAGGGCGUGCUAAUCUGCGAUAAGCGCCGGUAAGGUGAUAUGAACCGUUAUAACCGGCGAUACCCGAAUGGGGAAACCCAGUGUGAUUCGUCACACUAUCAUUAACUGAAUCCAUAGGUUAAUGAGGCGAACCGGGGGAACUGAAACAUCUAAGUACCCCGAGGAAAAGAAAUCAACCGAGAUUCCCCCAGUAGCGGCGAGCGAACGGGGAGGAGCCCAGAGCCUGAAUCAGCAUGUGUGUUAGUGGAAGCGUCUGGAAAGGCGCGCGAUACAGGGUGACAGCCCCGUACACAAAAGCGCAUGUGCUGUGAGCUCGAUGAGUAGGGCGGGACACGUGGUAUCCUGUCUGAAUAUGGGGGGACCAUCCUCCAAGGCUAAAUACUCCUGACUGACCGAUAGUGAACCAGUACCGUGAGGGAAAGGCGAAAAGAACCCCGGCGAGGGGAGUGAAAAAGAACCUGAAACCGUGUACGUACAAGCAGUGG
RNAcentral lists this ribosomal RNA (545 nucleotides) under Salmonella enterica subsp. enterica serovar Enteritidis. RNAcentral's name for it is "partial 23S ribosomal RNA". It matches the Rfam family "Bacterial large subunit ribosomal RNA", at positions 1 to 576 of the family's 2925-position model. The record is from RNAcentral. Lineage: Bacteria; Pseudomonadati; Pseudomonadota; Gammaproteobacteria; Enterobacterales; Enterobacteriaceae.